GAGUUGCUUCGCUUUGAUAUCAUCUUCUUGACAUGGUAUCAGAGCCAUGGCUCUGGUGGAUUGUUAUUCAUCCUCUUGUUCUUCCGCUGACGUUUUGAGGUGUAUUAGGGUUUUUUGGUUUUCAAAUAUAAAAAACCUGGUUGCAUCAUUCUUUUAGACGACUGAGUUGUAAAGAUGACUCUCUUUUCGUUCAUGGCGUUUGCCAGAAGCCUGGACGUCUCACAAGGGGACGAGUCUCUGUGGGAUUACAUGGUUCUGGCGAUUUUGCCCUAAUUUCCGUCAAACCAUUGCGAUCAAUCGAAUCAAAUCACAAAAAAAGUCUCCAAUCGAUGACCUACAUAAAGCUGAUUCACAAGAUCAACUGCUGAAAUCCGAUAUUUGUUUCAUGUUUUCAACGAUUUCUGCUUCAUAUUUCCAGAUUCUACACUAUUCGAACCCAAAUCGAACAAUCGGAACAUAGAUCUGUGAAGUUGGAACCGAAUCUCUCACGGUUUUUCAAGAUUCAAGCGUCGGAAGAGGUUUUUGCAGCAAGCAGGAGAGUUAGGGCGUGCUAAUUUCUUCGGUUUUUGUUGUUAUUGAAAGUUAAAAGUUCGUGUAGCGUGUUAUUCAAAGAAUCUACGCAGAUCGAUCGAUAUUUUGAACGGAUGGUUGUCGUUUAGGGCUUGUUCGAGUUGAAACGCUUGUGAUCUGGAUAGCAGUUUAUAUUGGGGCUUGGGGCUCUCGUAUUUCUUAGUGAAUGAUACGGCUGACUGUAUGUGCUAUUGUCUUCUUUACACAGUAAAAUCAAAGUGAAGCCGACCGAUUUGCCAUUUAAGAUUUAUCACAUCUGGAAAGUCUCAUAUUCCUAAAGUGAAGUGUCUGGUCCAUUGAAUAUCACAACUGGAAGUUUUUUUACGCUUUACAAAGAUAGCAAAGUGUUUCUGCCGUCUUGGUUUGCAUCUUGUAAGAGUGCUGGUCACCCUAAAUGAAGGUGUAUCGGGUUAGCUUGACAUUAAAGCACUGGUUGGGGGGAGGGGUCAUUCAUGUUACAGGCACCUGAUAUGGGAUGACAGAUACAUUGAAGAUCAAAUUGUGUCAAGAUUAGGAUGGACACAAAGACAUAAUGAAACUGGUGUAAUAAAUGGAUGUCAAACACUGGUUCUAUAAAAGGAUGUCAAAACACUUGAUAAAGGAUAAGGAUGGUCCAGCUCCUCUAUUCACUACAAUGGUGCAGGCAAUACAACUACAUUAUCUCAUCAGAUGGUUUCAAAUACUUAGCUCACAUUUUUGGACCAUAUAGUGUCUCAUAUUCUCUUUGACUUAAUUCAUAUACUUAUGCUACUAAGACAAAUGGCGUAAUUUUUCAAAUGAAGUAAAGAUAUCCGAGUGUAUCAAAGCAGUCUUCAAGAAUCUAGAUAUUAGGUGCUACUUUUGUUUUUAAUGUUUAUUGGUUAUUUAAUUUUUAUUUAUUA
Long non-coding RNA from Helianthus annuus (common sunflower), 1451 nucleotides. RefSeq lists it as uncharacterized. The transcript has 2 exons. Lineage: Eukaryota; Viridiplantae; Streptophyta; Magnoliopsida; Asterales; Asteraceae. The record is from RefSeq and is a predicted model, not a curated record.